This 397-nucleotide ribosomal RNA is filed under the name uncultured bacterium. RNAcentral's name for it is "partial 16S ribosomal RNA". It matches the Rfam family "Bacterial small subunit ribosomal RNA", at positions 523 to 918 of the family's 1533-position model. The record is from RNAcentral.
AUACGUAGGGGGCGAGCGUUGUCCGGAAUGAUUGGGCGUAAAGGGCGCGUAGGCGGCCCGGUAAGUCUGGAGUGAAAGUCCUGUUUUUAAGAUGGGAAUUGCUUUGGAUACUGUCGGGCUUGAGUGCAGGAGAGGUGAGUGGAAUUCCCAGUGUAGCGGUGAAAUGCGUAGAGAUUGGGAGGAACACCAGUGGCGAAGGCGACUUACUGGACUGUAACUGACGCUGAGGCGCGAAAGUGUGGGGAGCAAACAGGAUUAGAUACCCUGGUAGUCCACACUGUAAACGAUGAAUGCUAGGUGUAGGGGGUAUCGACCCCUUCUGUGCCGCAGUCAACACAAUAAGCAUUCCGCCUGGGGAGUACGGCCGCAAGGUUGAAACUCAAAUGAAUUGACGGGG